AGAAGAAUGACAAGACAGACCUGUGUUUUCUAACAGCAGCUCUGGAGGAAGAGGACACGUAAAGAGGGAUCAAACUCAGGACCUUGCGCUUUCGAGGCAGGUGCCCGAACCACUGAGCUAAAUCCUUGGCCCAAGACCUCAUCAUUCUUGAUUGAGAAAGAAAACUAUACAACUAUAAAACACUAAAUGGAACUCUUAGAACACAGGCCUGGCUCUCUGCUGUUCGCUGAAGCUGCUCCCUAGUGUGAUGGGUCACACGUGGUUUCCUUCUCACAGGGACUUCUGCAACAUGGCUGCUUGUGACAUCAAGCCCACAGGGAGAGCCCCUGGCUCAGUUUGCUAAGACUGGACUAAAGGAUGCCCAGAAACUGGAUGAAGCAUUAUUUCUGGCUGUGUCCAUGAGGUGCUUCUGGAGGAGAAUGACACUGAAAAGUCAGACUGAGCAGAGAAGACCCGUCCUUACUCAGACAGGAGGUCAUUAUCCCAUCUACAGAGGGCCUGAACAGAACACAAAGGCCAAGCAAGGGGAGUCUGCUUCCAUUUCAGCUUGGCACCAUUUUCCCCUGCCCUGGGACACUGGUGUUCCUGGUUCUUGAGCCUUCAGACUCAGACCGGGACUAGCUUCAUUUGUCCCAGGUUUCCAGGACUCAGACUGAAUGAAACCACCAGUUUUCCUGGCGCUCUGUCAUGCUGUGGGCAGACCGUGGGACUUCUCAGCAUGUGUAAUCAUCAGUCAAUUCCCAUCCUAAAUCUCUUCAUUUAUCUCGGAUUGGGUCAGUUUCUCAGGAGAAUCUGAUUAAUAUAAUCUGUAA
Molecule: long non-coding RNA, 812 nt
Organism: Heterocephalus glaber (naked mole-rat)
Lineage: Eukaryota; Metazoa; Chordata; Mammalia; Rodentia; Bathyergidae
Source: RefSeq, a predicted model, not a curated record